This 385-nucleotide ribosomal RNA is filed under the name uncultured bacterium. RNAcentral's name for it is "bacterial SSU rRNA". It matches the Rfam family "Bacterial small subunit ribosomal RNA", at positions 29 to 414 of the family's 1533-position model. The record is from RNAcentral.
AUUGAACGCUGGCGGAAUGCUUUACACAUGCAAGUCGAGCGGCAGCGCGGGGCAACCUGGCGGCGAGCGGCGAACGGGUGAGUAAUGCAUCGGAACAUGUCCAUGUCGUGGGGGAUAGCCCGGCGAAAGCCGGAUUAAUACCGCAUAUGCCCGAGAGGGGAAAGCCGGGGACCGCAAGGCCUGGCGCGAUUGGGUUGGCCGAUGUCCGAUUAGCUAGUUGGCGGGGAAGAGCCCACCAAGGCGAUGAUCGGUAGCUGGUCUGAGAGGAUGAUCAGCCACACUGGGACUGAGACACGGCCCAGACUCCUACGGGAGGCAGCAGGUGGGGUAAUUUUGGACAAGUGGGGGAAACCCUGAUCCAGCCAUUCCGCGUGAGUGAAGAAGG